CCUACGGGCGGCAGCAGUGGGGAAUAUUGCACAAUGGGCGAAAGCCUGAUGCAGCAACGCCGCGUGAGCGAUGAAGGCCUUCGGGUCGUAAAGCCCUGUCCUCAAGGAAGAUAAUGACGGUACUUGAGGCGGAAGCCCCGUCUAACUACGUGCCAGCAGCCGCGGUUAUACGUGGGGGGCUAGGGUUAUCCGGAAUUACGGGGCGUAAAGGGGGAGUAGGUGGUUUCUUAAGUCAGAGGUGAAAGUCUACGGCGCAACCGUAGUAAGCCUGUGAAACUGGGAAACUUGAGUGUAGGAGAGGGAAGUGGAAUUCGUGGUGUAGCGGUGAAAUGCGUAGAUAUUAGGAGGAACACCAGUUGCGAAGGCGGCUCUCUGGACUGUAACUGACGCUGAGGCACGAAAGCGUGGGGAGCAAACAGGAUUAGAUACCCUUGUAGUC
This 439-nucleotide ribosomal RNA is filed under the name uncultured bacterium. RNAcentral describes it as "partial 16S ribosomal RNA". It matches the Rfam family "Bacterial small subunit ribosomal RNA", at positions 338 to 795 of the family's 1533-position model. The record is from RNAcentral.